ACAACGACCCGACUUUCAAACGUCGACCUCGGAUCAGGUAGGGAUACCCGCUGAACUUAAGCAUAUCAAUAAGCGGAGGAA
Molecule: ribosomal RNA, 81 nt
Filed under: Ascomycota sp. 3456
Lineage: Eukaryota; Fungi; Ascomycota
Description: partial 28S ribosomal RNA
Rfam family: Eukaryotic large subunit ribosomal RNA (bases 24-81)
Source: RNAcentral